GAUCAAGCUACGAAGAGCGCACGGAGGAUGCCUUGGUAUAUGGCGCCGAAGAAGGACGUGACAAGCUGCGAAAAGCUGCGGAGAGUUGCAAAUGAACGUUGACCCGCAGAUGUCCGAAUGAGGGAACUCACCAUAAGUAAUGUUAUGGUAUCGUAUACUGAAU
RNAcentral lists this ribosomal RNA (163 nucleotides) under Clostridia bacterium. Its description in RNAcentral is "partial 23S ribosomal RNA". It matches the Rfam family "Bacterial large subunit ribosomal RNA", at positions 1 to 163 of the family's 2925-position model. The record is from RNAcentral. Lineage: Bacteria; Bacillati; Bacillota; Clostridia.